RNAcentral lists this ribosomal RNA (504 nucleotides) under uncultured bacterium. RNAcentral's name for it is "bacterial SSU rRNA". It matches the Rfam family "Bacterial small subunit ribosomal RNA", at positions 26 to 518 of the family's 1533-position model. The record is from RNAcentral.
AGGACGAACGCUGGCGGCGUGCCUAACACAUGCAAGUCGAGCGGGACAUGCGACGGAUCGGAAGUUUCGGAUGGAAGAGAAGAUGUAUGUUCUAGCGGCGGACGGGUGAGUAACGCGUGAGCAACCUGUCCUUCACAGGGGGAUAACACAGCGAAAGUUGUACUAAUACCGCAUAAGACCACGUUGGGGCAUCCCAAAGGGGUCAAAGGAGCAAUCCGGUGAAGGGUGGGCUCGCGUCCGAUUAGAUAGUUGGUGAGGUAACGGCCCACCAAGUCGACGAUCGGUAGCCGACCUGAGAGGGUGAUCGGCCGCAUUGGGACUGAGACACGGCCCAAACUCCUACGGGAGGCAGCAGUGGGGAAUAUUGGGCAAUGGGGGGAAACCCUGACCCAGCAACGCCGCGUGAGGGAAGAAGGUUUUCGGAUCGUAAACCUCUGUCCUUGGUGAAGAGGAAGAGACGGUAGCCAAGGAGGAAGCCCCGGCUAACUACGUGCCAGCCGCCGC